Non-coding RNA from Oryza glaberrima (African rice), 203 nucleotides. Lineage: Eukaryota; Viridiplantae; Streptophyta; Magnoliopsida; Poales; Poaceae. The record is from Rfam.
AAUAGAUGAUGCCAAUAACUUUUGAACACAGGUUUGACCAUUUGUCUUGUUCAAAAUAUUUACCUAAUUACCAUUUAUUUUAUUAUGAGUUGUUUUAUUACUAAAAGUACUUUAAGCAUAACUUAUAUCUUAUGCAUUUGCACAAAAUUUUUGAAUAAGACAAUGAUCAAACGUGUGUCCAAAAAUCAACGACGUCAUCUAUU